GACGAACGCUGGCGGCGUGCUUAACACAUGCAAGUCGAACGGAGUGGCGAACGGGAGAGUAACACGAGGGUUACCUGCCCUGCACUUCGGGAUAAGCCUGGGAAACUGGGACUAACUCAGGAUAGUGUGGGUUGGGCCCGCGGCCUUUCCGCCUUUUGGUGGUGUAAUGGCCUAGCAAGGCGGCGACGGCGAGCCGGCCUGAGAGGGUGGACGGGCACAUUGGUACUAGGGCACGGCGCAGACGGCUACGGGAGGCAGCAGGGGGGAAUAUUGUACAAUGGGCGGAAGCGUGAGGCAGCGACGCCGCGUGGGGGAUGUCGUCCUGCGGGUUAUAAACACCUUUCUCCAUCGACGCGGUAGAUGAAGAAGAAGCACCGGCUAACUACGUGCCAGCAGCCGCGGUAAUUC
This 408-nucleotide ribosomal RNA is filed under the name uncultured bacterium. RNAcentral describes it as "partial 16S ribosomal RNA". It matches the Rfam family "Bacterial small subunit ribosomal RNA", at positions 28 to 526 of the family's 1533-position model. The record is from RNAcentral.